RNAcentral lists this ribosomal RNA (1250 nucleotides) under metagenome. Its description in RNAcentral is "bacterial LSU rRNA". It matches the Rfam family "Bacterial large subunit ribosomal RNA", at positions 1635 to 2877 of the family's 2925-position model. The record is from RNAcentral.
CCAACGACCGUACCGCAAACCGACACUGGUGCGCGAGAUGAGUAUUCUAAGGCGCUUGAGAGAGCUCAGGAGAAGGAACUCGGCAAAUUGACACCGUAACUUCGGAAGAAGGUGUGCCCUAUUAGUGUGUAGUGAACAACGAAGCAUGAAUGGGUUGCAAAAAAUCGGUGGCUGCGACUGUUUAUUAAAAACACAGCACUCUGCAAACACGAAAGUGGACGUAUAGGGUGUGACGCCUGCCCGGUGCUGGAAGAUUAAAUGAUGGGGUGCAAGCUCUUGAUUGAAGUCCCAGUAAACGGCGGCCGUAACGAUAACGGUCCUAAGGUAGCGAAAUUCCUUGUCGGGUAAGUUCCGACCUGCACGAAUGGCGUAACGAUGGCCACACUGUCUCCUCCUGAGACUCAGCGAAGUUGAAAUGUUUGUGAUGAUGCAAUCUCCCCGCGGAAAGACGGAAAGACCCCAUGAACCUUUACUGUAGCUUUGUAUUGGACUUUGAACAGAUCUGUGUAGGAUAGGUGGGAGGCUUUGAAGCAGGGUCGCUAGAUCUUGUGGAGCCAACGUUGAAAUACCACCCUGGUGUGUUUGAGGUUCUAACCUAGGUCCAUUAUCUGGAUCGGGGACAGUGCAUGGUAGGCAGUUUGACUGGGGCGGUCUCCUCCCAAAGCGUAACGGAGGAGUUCGAAGGUACGCUAGUUACGGUCGGACAUCGUGACGAUAGUGCAAUGGCAUAAGCGUGCUUAACUGCGAGACUGACAAGUCGAGCAGAUGCGAAAGCAGGACAUAGUGAUCCGGUGGUUCUGUAUGGAAGGGCCAUCGCUCAACGGAUAAAAGGUACUCUGGGGAUAACAGGCUGAUACCGCCCAAGAGUUCAUAUCGACGGCGGUGUUUGGCACCUCGAUGUCGGCUCAUCUCAUCCUGGGGCUGUAGCCGGUCCCAAGGGUAUGGCUGUUCGCCAUUUAAAGAGGUACGUGAGCUGGGUUUAAAACGUCGUGAGACAGUUUGGUCCCUAUCUUCCGUGGGCGCUGCAGAUUUGAGGAAGCCUGCUCCUAGUACGAGAGGACCGGAGUGGACACACCUCUGGUGUAUCGGUUGUCACGCCAGUGGCAUUGCCGAGUAGCUAAGUGUGGAAGAGAUAACCGCUGAAAGCAUCUAAGCGGGAAACUCGUUUCAAGAUGAGAUCUGCCGGGGCCUUGAGCCCCCUAAAGAGUCGUUCAAGACCAGGACGUUGAUAGGUCAGGUGUGGAAACAAA